CGGGAUGGGAUUGUCCGCAGACGGGGAUGAGUUAAUUAAGGCUCCAGAGAGAAGUGGUGCCACCACCUUUUCAAUGUGGGCAUGGUGGUGAAGCUGCUGACGCUGCUUACAGAUCUCCCUGCUCCUCUCCUUUGGGCUGCCCAAGGCACUGAUUCACACGGGGGCAGGUUGGCACAGAACCACCGGAGCCCAUGGAGGUCCGAUGGGUGACUUGGACUGAGCUCUGUCUCCAUGUAACCUUCUUCCCCAUCUCCCACCUCUUUUCCAGUUUAUCUCCAGCAGAUACGAAGCCAACGCCAUUCUGGUCCCACUUCCCAUGCCUCCAAUAACCAGCUACCUUCCACGUUAAUCAGAGUUAAUGCAUUUUUUCUUUUAAUAUCAAAGUUUUGUGAAUCAAGCACAAAUGUUCCUUUGCAAUGAUGAAUUUACAUUUAGCCACUCAAGGUCACUAGUGACAUCUCUGCUUUUGAAAUGGGGAAGAUGGCUACUGCAGUUAUCUUUCAUGUUAAAAUCUAUGACUUUCUUCAGUAUUCAAAGAGAAUGUGGAGAAAAGUGAAAAGGUGUGAUGCUAAAUAUGAGAGCUGUCUGCUAGAGCUGUUUUUCCCUCAAGCAGAAUUGACUAAAUCUGCACUGUUUGCUGCAAAUAAAAUUAGUGGCUAAGGCUGGCAAAAGUGGAAAUGUUGAUGGAGACGUGGGUCUUGCAGAGCUGGCAGGAAUGUGGGACUGCAUCCAGCCACGUGGACCACCCACGGCAUACACCACCUCUUCCUGCUUUGCAAGAAGCCAGGUGAGAUGACUGCUUCUGUCCCAGGGUUCAAUGCAGUUAUUCAUAUAUUUAUUAUCAGAGCCA
Molecule: long non-coding RNA, 850 nt
Organism: Cygnus olor (mute swan)
Lineage: Eukaryota; Metazoa; Chordata; Aves; Anseriformes; Anatidae
Exons: 3
Source: RefSeq, a predicted model, not a curated record